GUAGUCCACGCCGUAAACGAUGGAUACUAGCUGUUGGGCGUAUCGACCCGCUCGGUAGCGAAGCUAACGCGUUAAGUAUCCCGCCUGGGGAGUACGGCCGCAAGGCUAAAACUCAAAGGAAUUGACGGGGACCCGCACAAGCGGUGGAGCGUGUGGUUUAAUUCGAGGCUACGCGAAGAACCUUACCAAGGCUUGACAUCCUGGUCAUACGUCUAAGAAAUUAGAUGGUCAUUUAGUUGGACCAGUGACAGGUGAUGCAUGGCCGUCGUCAGCUCGUGUCGUGAGAUGUUAGGUUAAGUCCUUCAACGAGCGCAACCCUCGUGGUUAGUUGUAUUUUUCUAACCAGACUGCCUCGACAACGGGGAGGAAGGAGGGGAUGACGUCAGGUCCGUAUUUCCCUUACGUCUUGGGCUACACACACGCUACAAUGGCCGGUACAAUGGGCUGCUAAGUCGCAAGGCGGAGCUAAUCCCACCAAAACCGGUCUCAGCUCGGAUUAUAGGCUGAAACUCGCCUGUAUGAAGUUGGAAUCGCUAGUAACCGUAGGUCAGCACACUACGGUGAAUACGUUCCCGGGUCUUGUACACACCGCCCGUCACAUCGCGAAAGUGACCAACGUCUGAAGCCUGCCUUUAUGGUGGACCACGAUGGGGGUCAUGAUUGGGGUG
RNAcentral lists this ribosomal RNA (668 nucleotides) under uncultured bacterium. Its description in RNAcentral is "bacterial SSU rRNA". It matches the Rfam family "Bacterial small subunit ribosomal RNA", at positions 790 to 1482 of the family's 1533-position model. The record is from RNAcentral.